RNAcentral lists this ribosomal RNA (253 nucleotides) under uncultured bacterium. RNAcentral's name for it is "partial 16S ribosomal RNA". It matches the Rfam family "Bacterial small subunit ribosomal RNA", at positions 524 to 776 of the family's 1533-position model. The record is from RNAcentral.
UAUGGAGGAUCCGAGCGUUAUCCGGAAUCAUUGGGUUUAAAGGGUCCGUAGGCGGGCCAUUAAGUCAGGGGUGAAAGUCUGCGGCUCAACCGUAGAAUUGCCCUUGAUACUGGUGGUCUUGAGUUAUGGUGAAGUGGCCGGAAUAUGUAGUGUAGCGGUGAAAUGCAUAGAUAUUACAGAGAACACCGAUUGCGAAGGCAGGUCACUAACCGUAUACUGACGCUGAUGGACGAAAGCGUGGGGAGCGAACAGG